AACCGUACUUUAUAAAAUUGUGUGAUCCUUGCUUAGCGUUGUCUCGAUUCAACAAAUAUUAUAGUGUCAGUGUUUAUCGCCCCCAAACUGGGGUUCGACGAUUGGGUCACCGAUUUCGACGUUUGGCUCACCAAUUACGACGUUCAAACCAAUUUCGACGUUUCCACAUAACCCCGACGACGAGAGUGCACUCCGCCGGGU
This 201-nucleotide unclassified non-coding RNA is filed under the name Melitaea cinxia (Glanville fritillary). RNAcentral's name for it is "misc RNA ENSMCXG00005015011.1". The record is from RNAcentral. Lineage: Eukaryota; Metazoa; Arthropoda; Insecta; Lepidoptera; Nymphalidae.